This 492-nucleotide ribosomal RNA is filed under the name uncultured bacterium. RNAcentral's name for it is "partial 16S ribosomal RNA". It matches the Rfam family "Bacterial small subunit ribosomal RNA", at positions 29 to 507 of the family's 1533-position model. The record is from RNAcentral.
AUUGAACGCUGGCGGCAUGCUUUACACAUGCAAGUCGAACGGUAACAGGCCUUCGGGUGCUGACGAGUGGCGAACGGGUGAGUAAUGCAUCGGAACGUGCCCAGAGGUGGGGGAUAACGCAGCGAAAGCUGUGCUAAUACCGCAUGUGAUCUGAGGAUGAAAGCGGGGGACCCAGCAGCAAUGUUUGGCCUCGCGCCUCUGGAGCGGCCGAUGUCAGAUUAGGUAGUUGGUGGGGUAAAGGCCUACCAAGCCGACGAUCUGUAGCUGGUCUGAGAGGACGACCAGCCACACUGGGACUGAGACACGGCCCAGACUCCUACGGGAGGCAGCAGUGGGGAAUUUUGGACAAUGGGCGCAAGCCUGAUCCAGCAAUGCCGCGUGCGGGAAGAAGGCCUUCGGGUUGUAAACCGCUUUUGUACGGAACGAAAAGGCUCUGGCUAAUACCUGGGGCUGAUGACGGUACCGGAAGAAUAAGCACCGGCUAACUACGUG